AUUGAACGCUGGCGGCAUGCCUUACACAUGCAAGUCGAACGGCAGCACGGGUGCUUGCACCUGGUGGCGAGUGGCGAACGGGUGAGUAAUAUAUCGGAACGUGCCCUAGAGUGGGGGAUAACGUAGCGAAAGUUACGCUAAUACCGCAUACGAUCUACGGAUGAAAGUGGGGGAUCGCAAGACCUCAUGCUCCUGGAGCGGCCGAUAUCUGAUUAGCUAGUUGGUGGGGUAAAAGCCUACCAAGGCGACGAUCAGUAGCUGGUCUGAGAGGACGACCAGCCACACUGGGACUGAGACACGGUCCAGACUCCUACGGGAGGCAGCAGUGGGGAAUUUUGGACAAUGGGCGCAAGCCUGAUUCAGCAAUGCCGCGUGCAGGAUGAAGGCCUUCGGGUUGUAAACUGCUUUUGUACGGAGCGAAACGGCUCUCUCUAAUACAGAGGGCUAAUGACGGUACCGUAAGAAUAAGCACCGGCUAACUACGUGCCAGCCGCCGCGGUAA
This 502-nucleotide ribosomal RNA is filed under the name uncultured bacterium. RNAcentral's name for it is "partial 16S ribosomal RNA". It matches the Rfam family "Bacterial small subunit ribosomal RNA", at positions 30 to 523 of the family's 1533-position model. The record is from RNAcentral.